ACGUAGAGUUUGAUCCUGGCUCAGGAUGAACGCUAGCGGCAGGCCUAAUACAUGCAAGUCGAACGGGAUUAGUUGUAUUUAUAUGACUAUGAGAGUGGCGCACGGGUGCGUAACACGUAUACAAUCUGCCCCAAACUGGAGGAUAGCCCGGCGAAAGUCGGAUUAAUACUCCAUAACAUUGCGAGAUGGCAUCAUCUUGUUAUUAAAGCUUCGGCGGUUUGGGAUGAGUAUGCGCAACAUUAGCUAGUUGGAGAGGUAACAGCUCACCAAGGCUACGAUGUUUAGGGGGUCUGAGAGGAUUAUCCCCCACACUGGUACUGAGACACGGACCAGACUCCUACGGGAGGCAGCA
RNAcentral lists this ribosomal RNA (352 nucleotides) under Isochrysis galbana. RNAcentral's name for it is "partial Bacterial small subunit ribosomal RNA". It matches the Rfam family "Bacterial small subunit ribosomal RNA", at positions 1 to 353 of the family's 1533-position model. The record is from RNAcentral. Lineage: Eukaryota; Haptophyta; Isochrysidales; Isochrysidaceae.